This 253-nucleotide ribosomal RNA is filed under the name uncultured bacterium. RNAcentral's name for it is "partial 16S ribosomal RNA". It matches the Rfam family "Bacterial small subunit ribosomal RNA", at positions 524 to 776 of the family's 1533-position model. The record is from RNAcentral.
UACGAAGGGGGCUAGCGUUGCUCGGAAUCACUGGGCGUAAAGCGCACGUAGGCGGAUUGUUAAGUCAGGGGUGAAAUCCUAGAGCUCAACUCCAGAACUGCCUUUGAUACUGGCGAUCUCGAGUCCGGGAGAGGUGAGUGGAACUGCGAGUGUAGAGGUGAAAUUCGUAGAUAUUCGCAAGAACACCAGUGGCGAAGGCGGCUCACUGGCCCGGUACUGACGCUGAGGUGCGAAAGCGUGGGGAGCAAACAGG